GGAUUAGAUACCCUGGUAGUCCACGCCGUAAACAAUGUACACUAGGCCUUGGGAGUUCUGACACUAACAGGGCCGAAGCGAAAGCGAUAAGUGUACCGCCUGGGGAGUACGGUCGCAAGGCUAAAACUCAAAGGAAUUGACGGGGGCUCACACAAGCGGUGGAGCAUGUGGUUUAAUUCGAAGCAACGCGAAGAACCUUAUCCUGGGUUUGACAUGGUUGGAUUAGCUUCCCGAAAAGGAAGUGACGCGUUUACGUGGAACAACCACAGGUGCUGCAUGGCUGUCGUCAGCUCGUGCCG
RNAcentral lists this ribosomal RNA (299 nucleotides) under uncultured bacterium. RNAcentral's name for it is "partial 16S ribosomal RNA". It matches the Rfam family "Bacterial small subunit ribosomal RNA", at positions 775 to 1067 of the family's 1533-position model. The record is from RNAcentral.